Molecule: transfer RNA, 75 nt
Filed under: Verrucomicrobiia bacterium
Lineage: Bacteria; Pseudomonadati; Verrucomicrobiota; Verrucomicrobiia
Also listed under: 1 other name
Description: tRNA-Asn
Rfam family: tRNA
About the family: Transfer RNA (tRNA) molecules are approximately 80 nucleotides in length. Their secondary structure includes four short double-helical elements and three loops (D, anti-codon, and T loops). Further hydrogen bonds mediate the characteristic L-shaped molecular structure. tRNAs have two regions of fundamental functional importance: the anti-codon, which is responsible for specific mRNA codon recognition, and the 3' end, to which the tRNAs corresponding amino acid is attached (by aminoacyl-tRNA synthetases). tRNAs cope with the degeneracy of the genetic code in two manners: having more than one tRNA (with a specific anti-codon) for a particular amino acid; and 'wobble' base-pairing, i.e. permitting non-standard base-pairing at the 3rd anti-codon position.
Source: RNAcentral
UCCGGAGUAGCUCAGCGGUAGAGCGGUCGGCUGUUAACCGAUUGGUCGUAGGUUCGAUCCCUACCUCCGGAGCCA